Molecule: long non-coding RNA, 1366 nt
Filed under: Bemisia tabaci
Lineage: Eukaryota; Metazoa; Arthropoda; Insecta; Hemiptera; Aleyrodidae
Description: lncRNA ENSSSA1NGG004573
Source: RNAcentral
AAUGCAAAUAGGUCACAAUCAGAUGGAAUAGAGAUCAAAAAAUUGAACAAUCAACUCAAGACUUUGGAACAAAAAUUUGAAAAGGAAAUUUCCCUAUUAAAUAAAACAAUAAUCUUACUCAAAAAGGAAAUAUCAACUUUGAAUGGUAAAUUAGUAAAAAGUGGAAACACACAAAAGAAAACAAGAAAGUAACUCCUAUUUGUCUACAUUGUAAAGACCCCCAUUUCACUACAUGGAAAGGGUGUAGAUAUUAUAAAAAGUUAAGGAAGGAAAAGUUAGAAAAAAUUAAACGACAAAAAGAACCAAAAACAGACGAACACCAUGUAAGCAGUGACGGGACUCUAAAAAAUGCAAAUAGGUCACAAUCAGAUGGAAUAGAGAUCAAAAAAUUGAACAAUCAACUCAAGACUUUGGAAAAAAAAUUUGAAAAGGAAAUUUCCCUAUUAAAUAAAACAAUAAUCUUACUCAAAAAGGAAAUAUCAACUUUGAAUGGUAAAUUAGUAAAAAGUGGAAACACACAAAAGAAAGCUAAAUAAACUUGGUUUAAAUAAUAUUUAUUAGGGAAAACAAAACAGUAAUCAAGGUGAUUAGAGUUAUCACCUUGAAGUGGUAAUAAACUUGCAUCUCUGCACUAUCAGAUUAAUUGGAAUUCCAAUAAUCGAUCGCUGAAUCAUUUGAACUUGAACGCUUUCUCAAUUGAGGAAAAUAGCUGGCUUUAGAUUUUAAUCUUAUCAAUGCGCAGCUUUAUUUACUUUAAAUAGUAGUAUAAUUCUAAUUUUAAUAAAGUAAUUAAUUAAUAGCACAUCUCUCACUAGAGAAAAUAACUCAUACGAGUUAGUUAAUAAAUCUCUCUGGAGAUAGUUGACUUAAAUCUUAAGUUUCUACUCUAAAGUAAACAGUGGUACUAAUACAAGGAAUUUUUUCCAUUUAUAAGUAGUAUUAUUUUAAUCUCACUAGAGAUAGUUGUUCUGAUUUUGUUUUUUACCCAAUUGGGUAAACAGUAGUAUCUAGCUAGGGGAAUUUUUUCCAUCAUUUAACUAUGAUGGUUUUUUAACCUACUUAUUUUAAACCUAUGAGUAGUAUAAAAGUAAAUAUCUUAGAUAUUAAGUAGUUAAUUAAUUUAUAAAGUAGUAUUAGCACUGUAAGUGACUUUUGUUGUAUUCUUUACUUUCUUUCGUAAAGUCGAGUUUUCACUCCAGCCGAUGUUAUAUCUGUUCAGAUAAUUUCCGGCGUGUCUAGUGUAGUAUUUAUUAUUUAUUUUAUAUAUUUGUAAAAUAUCAAUAAAAACACUUGACAAAACAAAAAAAAAAAAAAAAAAGUGCUCUCAAUACAGGGCCCCCAACUGAGUCCCUCGCGGAGAUCGUCG